CCAGUGUGGAUAUCCUGGGAGUUCACUCCCUCCAGGCUCUGUUCAACAGGCAUAAGGGACCAUAGGGCCCUGCCCCUUGAGGUACAAUCCCUUUCCACAACGUGGGAGAUGAUGCUGAGUCUGCGUCUGUGUAUUCCUACAGCUUCUCAGAGUUCUGUGGACAAUGACUAGGGAGACAAACCAUGCAGGAAACAUGU
Molecule: small nucleolar RNA, 197 nt
Organism: Aotus nancymaae (Ma's night monkey)
Lineage: Eukaryota; Metazoa; Chordata; Mammalia; Primates; Aotidae
Gene: SNORA73
Rfam family: Small nucleolar RNA SNORA73 family
About the family: U17 (SNORA73A and SNORA73B) also known as E1 belongs to the H/ACA class of small nucleolar RNAs (snoRNAs). Vertebrate U17 is intron-encoded and ranges in length from 200-230 nucleotides, longer than most snoRNAs.
Source: Ensembl